CCACCAGCAGUGAGCCGGUCUCAGGCGUGUUUUCCAGGUGCUGAAUGAGGAAGAGUGAAGGUGGAUGGAGUAAACAACAGCUUGACACAGGCGUAUCAGUGUAUCUGGCUCUGCUUUAUAGUUAUGCCGUCAUUGCGCACUCUGAUCACACUGUACAUCCUUUUGUUAAUCUAUGUCAUUAAGCCAUCUAGCCAGUCUGGUACUGUUGCAUAUGGUUCUCUAACCUAUCCAUGGCUAGCAUGGCCAUCUGUGUUGAAGUGAAAAUGUUAUUAGAACUGUUAGUGUUUAGUGCUCUGCGAAUACAUGUGACCCCACUUGAUAUGAAUGGAAAGAUCUGAUUCGCAACCAAGCGUCAAGCGUGACAAUUUCAUUUACGAUAUAAUUAUUUCGUCCGCUAAACCAAGCGGACUAUUUUAUAGCUAUUAGAGACGCCAGCUUCGACAGUGAAAGUAAAGCAUGUAUUGUCAGCAUUGUCAACAUAGAAUUUUCUCCACGAAAAAGGCUAAGGUGUACAGGACACUAUUUUCAACAAAAUAACACCAAGGCCGCUUUCAUCCCAUUUCACGGUCUGUCAAACGUCCCAGUCCCUCACGGAGCCGUGUCAAUGCCUGAUAUCAUACAGUUCUUCGUCAACAGGCUACAUGCUGCAAAAGUAGGUGGGCUUUCUGAUCGUAAUCAGUCACACUUCAUAUCACACCACCAUGAUUCGACGAGUUAAGGGUUCCCUUGAGGCACGAUUGAAGAAAAUUUUCCACUCCGCCAUUAAACCCACCGUGUCCCCUUACUUCUAACUCGACAUUCUGAGGUGGCUAGGGACUAACGACUCAAUGUUCUGGAAAUAAAGUAGACUAGAAGGGUGCUCAAAAGAGCAUUAAAAACGAACAGCACAAAAACCAGCGCUAAUUUGUCAUCCUCUGUGUGAAACAGUCAUAAAAUCAGGCACAACCUUGACAGGUUGUUAAUUUUUUAUUCAUGUACUCCAAGCUAUUCAGACUGUACCCCUUUUUUGCAAAUCUGCUUACUCAUGCAUUAAAGAUUACACGCCAAAUUAGAGGCUGACUCAUGUACAAUGCAUCAGUGAUAAUGUGAAUUAAUCCACCUCCCAGACACUAAAUUUUCAUUUAUUAUUCUCACAGAUAGAUGUGGCAUUUUUUAAAAAUUUCUUUGCAAAAACUGUUAGACACUCCAUUCUCCCUGACAUCCCUUUUCUAAAUGGACUUUUUUUUUCCACAAGUAUCAGCAUCUAAAUGGUUUCAAAUGGAGUUUGAGCCUGAGGCAAGCAGCUGUCAGCUCACGAGCGCUGGUGCCAGUCUGGAGCUUUAAAACACAGCCAUUGAAAAGUUACAGCUCCAGUUUGAAGCUUGGCCAAAAUUCAGUCAGUUCCACUGCUAUGGCCAUAAUAGGCUUUAAGCUUCUUCUACUUUCGGAUGCUGCGUGUUCCUCCAGUCCAUUCCUCGUGCACAUCUAAAGCACUUUUCACGAACAUCAAUUACGGCUAAUAUAAAAUCGUAGUAUGUUAAGCGAAAGUGAUUAUAGUGGCCAGUGCUAAAGGUUCUCUAGACCAGAGCUUCUCAAAUUGGGGUCUGUGAAGCACAGCCAGGGGUAUGUGACUUUGUAAUUUAGUUAAAUCGGUAGAAAUCACAAUCGACCAUUAUCCAAGCUAUUAUAUUUAUUAUCGAGUGCUUAUAGUUAUUUACCUAAUUACCUGUUCACCUAAAUUAAAUGGGUUUAAUCCAUCCAAAAAUAAUCAACGGCAGUCCGACAUGAAGCCGAGUUACUCUUACCAGCCUGAAGUUGAUUAUUACCCAAUAAAACAAUGUUCUAUAAACAGACUUUUUUUUUAUCAUGUUGUACUUAUUGUCUGUUUAUAGUUACAUUCAACGAUAUGGAACAUCCGCCAAAACAAGCUCCUGUCAUCACUUACGUUUUAGA
Long non-coding RNA from Ictalurus punctatus (channel catfish), 1932 nucleotides. The record is from Ensembl. Lineage: Eukaryota; Metazoa; Chordata; Actinopteri; Siluriformes; Ictaluridae.